RNAcentral lists this ribosomal RNA (497 nucleotides) under uncultured bacterium. RNAcentral's name for it is "partial 16S ribosomal RNA". It matches the Rfam family "Bacterial small subunit ribosomal RNA", at positions 28 to 507 of the family's 1533-position model. The record is from RNAcentral.
GAUGAACGCUGGCGGCGUGCCUAAUACAUGCAAGUCGAGCGAACAGACGAGGAGCUUGCUCCUCUGACGUUAGCGGCGGACGGGUGAGUAACACGUGGAUAACCUACCUAUAAGACUGGGAUAACUUCGGGAAACCGGAGCUAAUACCGGAUAAUAUAUUGAACCGCAUGGUUCAAUAGUGAAAGACGGUUUUGCUGUCACUUCUAGAUGGAUCCGCGCCGCAUUAGCUAGUUGGUAAGGUAACGGCUUACCAAGGCAACGAUGCGUAGCCGACCUGAGAGGGUGAUCGGCCACACUGGAACUGAGACACGGUCCAGACUCCUACGGGAGGCAGCAGUAGGGAAUCGUCCGCAAUGGGCGAAAGCCUGACGGAGCAACGCCGCGUGAGUGAUGAAGGUCUUCGGAUCGUAAAACUCUGUUAUUAGGGAAGAACAAAUGUGUAAGUAACUAUGCACGUCUUGACGGUACCUAAUCAGAAAGCCACGGCUAACUACGUG